UACGUAGGGUCCGAGCGUUGUCCGGAAUUACUGGGCGUAAAGCGCGCGCAGGCGGCCCGCGAGGUGUCACGUGAAAGCCCCGGGCUCAACCCGGGAGGGUCGUGGCAAACCGGCGGCUUGAGGCCGGUAGAGGUGGGUGGAACUCCUGGUGGAGUGGUGAAAUGCGUAGAGAUCAGGAAGAACACCAGUGGCGAAGGCGGCCAACUGGUC
Molecule: ribosomal RNA, 210 nt
Filed under: uncultured bacterium
Lineage: Bacteria
Description: partial 16S ribosomal RNA
Rfam family: Bacterial small subunit ribosomal RNA
Source: RNAcentral